Molecule: long non-coding RNA, 11454 nt
Organism: Hypanus sabinus (Atlantic stingray)
Lineage: Eukaryota; Metazoa; Chordata; Chondrichthyes; Myliobatiformes; Dasyatidae
Exons: 2
Source: RefSeq, a predicted model, not a curated record
GUUGGAGGUGUUGUGGAUAGUGUGGAGGGCUGUCAGAGAUUACAGUGGGACAUUGAUAGGAUGCAAAAUUAGGUUGAGAAGCGGCAGAUGGAGUUCAACCCAGAUAAGAGUGAAGUGGUUCAUUUUGGUAGGUCCAAUAUGAUGGCAGAAUAUACUAUUAAUUAUAAGACUCCUGUCAGUGUGGAAAAUCGGGGGCGAGUCCAUCGGACACUCAAAGCAGCUGCGCAGGCUGACUCUGUGGUUAAGAAGGCAUACGGUGUAUUGGCCUUCGUUAAUCAUGAAAUUGAAUUUAGGAGCCAGAAGAUAAUGUUGCAGCCAUCUAGGACCCUGGUCAGACCCCACUUGGAGUACUGUGCUCAUUUCUGGUCAGCGCACUACAGGAAGGAUGUGGAAGCCGUAGAAAGGGUGCAGAGGAGAUUUACAACAAUGUUACCUCGAUUGGGGAGCAUGCCUUAUGAAAAUAGUUUGAGUGAACUUGGCCUUUUCUCCUUCGAGCAACAGAGGGUGAGAGGUGACCUGAUAGAGGUGUAUAAGAUGAUGAGAGGUAUUGUUCAUGUAGAUAGUCAGAAGCUUUUUCCCAGAACUGAAAUGUUUGCCACAAGAGGACACAGGAUUACGAUGCUGGGGAGUAGGUACAGAGGAAACAUCAGGAGUAAGUUUUUUACUCAGAGAGUGUGAGUGCGUGGAAUGGGCAGCUGUGCCUCUAUCUGAGUGAUAGAGGCUGAUACGUUAGGUUCUUUUAAAAGAUGUUUGGAUAGGUACAUGGAGGUUAGAAAAAUAGAGAGCUAUAGGUAAGGCUAGUAAUUUCUAAGGUAGGGACAUAUUUGACACAACUUUGUCUGUUGAAGAGCCUGUAAUGUGCUGUAGGUUUUCUAUGUUUCUAUUAUUAAACAGUCCAAGAAUCUCCACACACCAACAAUACCAGCUGCUAACUCCUCUCUGUAGAUCACAUUAGUGUGUGAUACAUUCUUUUCCCCAAUUCCACCACCAAGACUAUAUCUCUGGGAUGUUACAGAAGUUACUCUGUCUCCAUUUGUUCUAACCAGUAACAAUCCAGUGUUACAGCUAGCACUGUCUGGCGUGAUAAGAGGGAGCACAACCACAGCCUGAAAUCUUGUCCCUACACUGAGAAACUGAUCGAGUUCCCAGCUGGGCAGAAUCUGAGGAGUGCUAUAGAAAACUUCUAUCUAUUCACUGGGAUGUUGACUGCUUACACAUCCCCCACUUCUCAAAUUUGUCUUCAGGCAGGUGGUGGCAAUCAGCUUUCUUUAGUCCCUGUCUUUCCAUAGCAGACUUGACACAGUUGACUGCCUUGUGGUGCCAUUUUCCUGCUAAUCUGUCACCAAAAACUGACAAUCACCGGGCAUUUGAGACAUUAACUGCUGCCAUCACCAAGCAAGAAACUGUCCACCACAAUCAUUGUCAGGAAUUUCAACCAGGCUUAUUUGAAGAAAUCUCUGCCCAGUGAUCGCCAGCAUUUAACCUGCAGCACCAGGGGUCCCAACCACUGUUACACUACGAUUAGGAAAGCCUACUGUUCCAUGCCUAGACCACAUUUUGAGAAAUCUGAUCACUUGGUUGUCCUUCUCCUACCUGCAUACGGGCAAAGCACCAGUGAUAAGCACAACAAAGAGUUGGUCGCAUGAGGCAAAGGUGUGGCUAUGGGAUUGCUUCUAGUCAGUGGACUGGGCCAUGUUCAAGGACUCAUCAAAAGAUCUGAAUGAAUGAACGGUGGUCACGGAGUUUAUUAAAACAAUUGUAGAUCGGCAUGUCCCCAUAAAAUCACUCCGAGUUUUCCCCAAUCAGAAAUGCUGGAUGAACUUUGAGAUCCACAAUCUGCUGAGGGCUACUGUAGACCAGUGGCACUCAGGUCUGGUAACCUAAUAAGUACAAGGUGUACAGAUGAAGUUGUAAAUGCGGGCUCACUUUUAAAAUUUAAGAAAAACUUGGACAUGUACAUGGUUGAGAGGUAUAUGGAGGGAUAUGGGCUAGGUGCAUGACAGUGAGACUAGGCAGAGAAAAGGUUCGGCACAGCCAGGAAGGGCCAAAAGGCCUGUUUCUGUGCUGUAAUGUUCUAUGGUUCUGUAAAUGUAUGGACUGCUCUUUCAGAAAAGGCAACAGAUGGGGGACUGUGUUUCAUGAUAAAUUCUUUGUGGUACUUGGACACAAUGGCCUUGUCAGACUCUUAUUCCUCUGACCUGGAACAUCUAAGAUCUCUUAAAUGUUGAAAUUGAGCUUGCAUGCACCACUUGUUCUGUCAGCUCAUUCCACACUCUCACGGCCCUCUGGGUGAAGACGUUCUUCUUAGACUUUUCACCUUUCACCUUUAACCCAUGUCCCACCCAACCUCAGUCGAAAAAGCCUACUUAAAUUAACCCUAUUUAUACCCUUCAUAAUGUUGUAUGUCAAAUCUCCUCUUGAUCUUCUGCAUUCGAAGGAAUAAAGUCCUAACCAAUUCAAUCUUUUCUCAUAACUCAGGUCCUCCAGGUUCAGCAACAUGCUUGUAAAUUUUCUCUGCACUCUUUCAGCCUUGUUUACAUCUUACCUGUAGGCAGGUGACCAAAACUGUACACAAUACUCAAAAUUAGGCCUCACCAACGUCUUAUGCAAUUUCAACAUAACAUCCCAUCUCUUGUACUGAAUACAUUGAUUUUUGAAGGGCAACAUGCAAAAGCUUUCUUUAUGGCCCUAUCUAUCCAUGAUAGCACUUUCAACAAAUUACGGAUUUGCAUUUGCAGAUCUCUUUUGUUCUAUUGCACUCCUCAUUGCUCGACCAAUCACUGUGUAAGAUUGGUCCAGCCUAAGUGGAAAACCUCAUACUGGUCUGCAUUAAAUUCCAUCUUCAGUAGGAAGUCUCUUGAUGCUCAUUACUAAUUUCCAUACUAUUCUCACUUCCAUACGAUCCAUCUGGUUUAUAUGUGCUCUUCCUCACAAAAUACAACACAUCACACUUCUGAGCGUCCAUUGCCCAUUCCUCUAUCCAGUUUUUGAUGUCCAUUAUUGUCUACUUCAUGAUUCAGAAUACAUCGAAGUUUUACACCAUCUGUAUAUUUUGAAAAUAUGAUCUAUUUUUUCCCUCACAUUUUGUGCUAAUUUAAUUAUUUUUUAUAUAUACUCACUGUAAUUUACAGUUUUUAUUUUAUAUUUACUAUUUUUUUUAUUAUAUUAACCUUGAUGAAAAUCCUAUAAUUGAAUAUAGAGUAAUAUAGCAUGGAAAUAGGCCCAUGUCAUUCAUGCCAACCAAGAUGUGUGUCUAAGUUACUCCUAUUUGCAAAUUUAGCACAUUAAAAAAUAAUCAGUGAUUAUCUGACCUCAUCAAAAACUGUAUCAGAUUAAUUAGACACCAUUAGUCUUUAACAAAGGAUGUUUCUAAACAAUCCACACUUGUCCCAGUGAUUACUAAUUCUAUACCUUUUCCACCACCUUCUCCAUUUCAAAGCUAAAAUACUUUUCAUUUUCUUUAAAAUGGCUGAUUUACUUUCUCCAAGUUUUGCACAACUGCACACACAGUUUGUAUGGGUGAUUUUUGAUGUUACAAUGUCCGGAGAUGGUCACACAAUCUGAUAAAGACCAAAUGGUCUCAAUAGCCUAAAACAUUGCCCCACUUGUGAUUGAGAUGAUAUUUCCUGUUUCUUCUACACUAACGCUGAAUAUCCUUGGAUGGUCAGUCAGGCGAUGCCCAUUCUAUGUUGAACAUGCAACAAUUCCAGCUUUUGCUAAACUCGUGAGAUUAAUAAACCAUUUCCUCCCCACAGAAUCGCUUUCUGCUGCAAUUCUCCUGGACAAUUUACAACAGGCUGUGGAUCUUCUGCACUGGAUUUCUCUUUCCCUUUCCAGUGUGUUGUUUCUCACUUCUAUAAACAACAAAUGGGACAAUGAGGAAUAUUAUUGGAAAAGCCACAGGCAAUCACAAAGAACAUUCUUGCUGGUUUGUUACAUGACGUGGAACUCUGUCACUCUGAAGUUCCAAGUUGGUGUUUUAGAUGUUCCAAGAUGGUGCUGAAAAGUGCAAGCUCCAAAGGGAAUCAUCAAAAGUUUCCACUUAGGACUAUUACAGCUGAAAACCACAGUCACAGACAUGGGUUCUUCAGUAAGCAACAUUGUUUUGAAGUGUUUUAAAAAAUCUAUCGAUCCUCAUGAUCGGCAGACUCUGGACUGCAGAUUUGGGUGACAAGUGCAGUUUCCCUUUAAGAAAAGGGUGAUGAGGUAGGGGUACUGUGCGGCAAGUAAGAUGGAAGCACAAGACCCUGAGGCCUCCACUUCCUAACAUCUUGUCGGCAAUGUCAGUACACCUUUCAACAGGGAUUAUGUCACUAUGAUGUACCUGAUCAGGCUCAGAAAACCUGUGCCAAUCAACUGGCAGGAAUGUUCAAGGACAUCUUCAAUUUCUCACCGGUACAGUCAGAGGUUUCCACCUGCCUCAUAAGGGUUCAAUCAUACCAGUGCCCAAGAAAAGCAGGGUGAGCUGCCUCAAUGACUAUUGCAAAGAUGCGCUCACAUCUACUUUGACGAAGUACAUCGAGCAGAUGGACAAGGCCACAACUAAUUCCUUUCUAAGCAAGGACCUGGACCUGCUGCAAUUUGCCUACUGCCACAAUAGGCUACAGUGGAUGCAAUCUCACCGUAUCUCCACUUGGCCUUGGACCAUUGGGUCACUAGCAAUACCUAUGUUGGACUGCUGAUUGAUAAUUACAGCUCAGCAUUCUCUCUGUGUUAAUCAACAAGCUUCAAAACCUGGACCUCUAUACCUCUCUCUGCAACUGGAUCCAGGACUUACUUGUUGGGAGGCAAUAUUAAGUGUGAAUUGCAAAUACCAUCUCCUCAUUGACAAUCAGCACCGGCACACCAGAAGGAUGCGUGCUUAGCCCACUGGUCUGCUCUCUCUAUAUCCAUGACUCUAUGACUAGGCAAAGCUUAAAAACCAUCUAUAAAUUUGCCAGUGACAUAACUGUUGUUGACAGAAUCUCAGAAAGUGAUGAGAUGUACAGGAGAGAGACAGAUCAGCUGGUGGAGUGGUGUCCCAACAACAACCUUGCACACAACUUCAGUAAGACCAAGGAAUUGUUUGUGGACUUCAGGAAGGGGAAUUUGAGGGAACACACACCAGUCCUCAUUGAGGGGUCAGCAGUGGAAAGGGUGAGCAAUUCCUGAGUGUCAAUAUCUCUGACAACCUAUCCGAGGUCCAACGUACUGAUGUAAUUACAGGGAAGGUACAUCAGUGGCAAUAUUUCAAGUUCAAGUUCAAUUGUCAUUCAACUAUGCACACAUAUACAAUCAAAUGAGAUAACAUUCCUCCGGAGCCACGUGGCAAAUCACACACAGUCACACAGCACGUAUAAGACAUUUACAGUAGUUAUGAUUUCAGAAAAAAUUACAGUCACAAAAAGAUAAUACAGCCCAAGUCAGUGUCAUGGCCUGUAGAGUGAUGGUGCAUGUGAUAUUGUCAUGGAGCCAGUUUCCACAAGAACAAGCACACAGCAGUUCCUCAUUAUGCACUAGUGCAGACAUAGACCAGCGCAAUCCAGCUUUACUUCCACUGAGUGAACACUAGCGAGUAGCACCAACAGGAGAGCUGGUUGUGGGGUCCAGCUCCAGACCAGCGCAGGUAUUAGUGUGCCCGCUAUACCUUUGCUCUCUGCUACACUGCCUCCUGCGUCACUUCCCCUGGCCAGCUGUAAUAGGAGUCGUCACAGCAUGAGACCUGGUUCACACAACAACCAAGGCCAUGCAACCCCCCCUCCUGUUGGUCUCGCUAAUGAACCAAUACAGUAUUUCACUUGAUCAAUUUGAGCAGGGAUUUGCGAUUAUAAGAAAAAUGUUGGACAAUCAUUUGCACAGUUUAUUAGACCAUGCACUGCCUCUGAUGCCUUCUCCCCUGCAUGGCUGUAACAGGUGAUGAAACAGCAUGCAACAAGUCCAGUUCCCCCACUAUCCAGCAGUUCACUAGUGGGGUAGUCGUGCAGUGCUCAGUGUUCAUAGUAUCCAGCAGUGACUUGUGAUCAUAAAAAAGACAGAAAGGACAAACAAUUACACGACUGGUUCAACCCAACAGCUGUUGCAACCAAGCGUGCCGCCAUCUCAAUGGGGUUUGAGGAGAUUUUCUGUGUCACCAAAGACACUGGCAAAUUGUGACAGAUGUACCAAGGAGAGUAUUCUAACUGGUUCCAUCACUGGCAGGUAUCAAUGAAGCACAGCAUGGAUCAGAAAAAGCUGCAGAAGGUUACAAACUCAGCCAGCUUCAUUACGGGCUCCAUCCUCCCCGGAAUCAUGGAUGUCUUCAAAAGCUGAUUCCUCAUAAAGGCAACAUCCAUCAUUAAGGGGCCCCACUACCCAGGAGAUGCCCUCAUCUCACUGCUACCAUCAAUGAGGAAGUACAGGAGCCUUAAGACACAUAAUCAGUGGAGAGGAACAGCUUCUUCCCCUCCUCUCUCACCCCAUGAACUCUACUUAUCUAAUUUUGCACUACUUGUUUUCUAUAUAUAUAUAUAUAUUCAUUUUCACUCCCAGACUGAAUGCUAGACACUGCGAUGAGCAAGACAGUUGCAAAUGUUCUUACUGUUUAUUUCUCGCCAACUGUCAGUGACUGCAACUGUUCCGCUCCCCACACUUGUGCUCUCACUCCUCCCCUCAUGUCAGUGGCAAGGACAGUGACCUCACCUUCCACCGCCCCCCUCCCACCAGCUUCUACAUUUAUCCUGGGUCAUUUUCCCCAUCAUCAAUAUGAUGCCAACUGGACCUAACAUUUUUCUCAUCUCUCCAGGUGUUCAUCCUCUCUGUAGCUACCAGUCUCAAUCUACCACCUCCAUCUCUACACACUCCUCCUCUUACAAUUAUCAAUGUAGCUUCUGUGAUGCAACAUCUGCCCAAUUACUGCUUCCCAUCACCAUUUGUACUUCUUCCACAUUAGUAUGUUAAAUUUAGUUCUCACAGUAUGUUCCUCUCCAAAUUGGAAAAAAAACCUCAAACUACAGAUUUCUGAGUCUUUGCAAGAGAAAGAGGGAAGUACCAAAUAAAAUAAAUAGAUAUAGAUCAUAACUGUAGAUUUUUAAUUUGAUAAAUAAUUGGCCAGGAAUGGAGACAAUUUCUUGUUAUUGAAAAUAAUUCCCUGGGAUGUUUUAUUCUAAGUCUGGAUGCUGCAUAACUACGAGGCAACUUUUAUCCUAAAAUACAAUUUGGAUUAUUUCUCAAUGUCCAAGCCUGACAAUGUCUCAGUCUGACCAAUAUGGACCUCAGUAUACAUCACCAUAUGUUCAACAUAGCAAUCAACUAGCAUUUAUGAAUCUUUUCAUAUUAUUUAAACAUUUUGUAUGUUCCACAUGACAAUCCCAGAUGUGUUGCAUCAGAAAUGAUUCACCCGCACCUGAAUGUUCAUCACGGUGUGAAAACACAGGGAGCAUUCUGAUCCUCAGUGUCCCAGAUCGGGCUGCAGACAUAUAUUCAUUCUGUCGCAGAUUGCUGUGCCUUCAACUAAUGAGAAACAAUGAUAAGUAAGCAGUUUCUGGGCAAGGACAGUAAUUGUCUGAAGACCGGGUGGUCAAAGGGCAGUUCAGAUAUUGUUAUGAUAAGCACCCGACCAUACCAACUUCCGGUGUUUGGACACUCUGACUCUCCGGAAUAUUGAUAGCAGGUGCAGUCUUUAUUGACUCAGACCUGACCUGCUAAUUGGCGGCUAUGCCUUGAUUCUAGUCUCUGACACUCUAGUACUUGGAUCCUAACCAUCCUUGCCUAUGUCUCAUGUCACAGAUAUAUUCUGACCAAAUUGACCACUGAAAUGUUCAAGCAAUGAAUCUAUCAUGAAGCCUGAAAAUACAUUCAGCAUUCACUCAAUUGUAGAGUGAGGGAAGGGUGUUGUGAAUUGCCAUCUGUGACUCCAGUUAUUCAUUGUUCUCUCUCUAUGGCAAGAAUGUCCAUUCAUUGUUAAGAAAACAAAACUCUCCACUACCUUCCCAGUGCAGUCUUGCUAAUACUCUGUCAAUUAGCUAAAACCAUCACCUCAACUGUGGCACAGGCCACCGAGAGUAAUUCGCCAGAAUCCUCUGUCCUGAGCCGGUAUUUCAAACCAUCCACAGGUGUAACACAUCAUGGUGUAUCCGUCCUCUCCCAGUGAUGGGGACUUAGGAGUUUCUGCUGGUGUUUACAUACCUCAGUGUUUUUACAGAAUGGGAUUGCUAGAUAUAUACCAAGACUCUGUACAACUACAACUUUGUUACUCCUGAAGUUCAACGCUACCCAAUCACUUAGCGUUGAAUAAAAACACUGCUUUUCCAUUAUUGGUACUAAAAUGGAUGAUCUCCCAUUUUUCUUCAUUGUGUUCCAUUUGCCAAGUUCUUGUCAUCUCACUGAGCUGGUUUGUAAAAUCCUGUGGAUAUGUUUCCACGUGGUGAUUAAAUCAGGGUUACUUCUAUUUGUUUGAUAUAUUUACAUACUGUGUUGCCAAUUUAUGAACAGACACAGUACCAUUAAUAUUAUCAUAUUGAGAUCUUUCCUUAUUGGCACAAUUUGAUUAUUUUCAAGAACAAGAAACUAUCACAAUUCCUGCCCAAGAAUUAAUCAAAUUUUAAGACCUAUAAUCAUGAUCUACCUGCAUGAGGAAGUGGAGGGUUGGGUUAGUAAAUUUGCUGAUGACACAAAGGUCAGGGUGUUGUGGAUAGUGUGGAGGGCCGUCAGUGGUUUAAAUGGGACAUUGAUAGGAUUGAAAACUGGGUUGAGAAAAGGCAGAUGGAAUCCAACCCAGAUAAGUGUGAGGUUGUUCAUUUUGGUAGGUCAAAUAUGAUGGCAAAAUAUAGUAUAAAUGGUAACACUCUUGGAAGUGUGGAGUAUCAGAGGGAUCUUGUGGUCCAUAGGACACUCAAAGCUGCUACACUGGUUAACUCUGCGGUUUAGAAGGCAUACAGUGCAUUUGCCUUCAUCAAUCGUGGGAUUGAGUUUAGGAACUGAGAUGUAAUGUUGCUGCUAUAUAGGACCCUGGUCAGACCCCACUUGGCGUACUGUGCUGACCUCACUACAGGAAGGAUGUGGAAACCAAAUAAAAGGUGCAGAGAAGAUUUAUAAGGAUGUUGCCUGGAUUGGGGAACAUGCCUUAUGAGAAUAGGGUGAUUGAACAUGUCCUUUUCUCCUUGGAGCGAAGAAGGAUGAGAGGUGACCUGACAGAGGUGUAUAAAAUGAUGAGGGGCAUUGAUUGUAUGGAUAGUCAAAGGCUUUUUCCCAGGACUGAAAUGGCUAGCAAGAGAGGGCACAGUUUUAAAGUGCUUGGAGGUAGGUACAGAUAAGAUGUCAAGGGUAAGUUUUUCAUGCAGAGAGUAGUGAGUGCAUGGAAUGGACUACCAGCAACAGUGGUGGAAGCAGAUAUAAUAGGGUCUUUUAAGAGAUUCCUGGAUAGGUACAUGGAACUUUGAAAAAUAGAGGGCUAUGUGUAACCCUAGGUGAUAUCUAAGCUAAGGACAUGGUCAGCACAGCUUUGUGGGCUGAAGGGCCUGUAUUGUGCUGUCGGUUUUCUCUGCUUCCAUGUUUCUACAAUGUGAAAAAAAUUUAAAGGUUAUCCAUUCUGGUGCAAUUAAUAGAAAAGUGAAUUAUUUAUUAAAUGGAGAGUGCUUAGGUACUGUUAAAGUUUAUAGAGACCAAGGUUUGAUGUAGGUGAAAGGAUGUACUUGCCACAGUCACAGUGCAAUAAUGAUUCAGGAUUGGUAGUGUUUCUAAAUGAGAAGAUAUUGAGUAGACUGGGAUUUUACUUUCUUCAGCUUCAACAAAACAUUACAAAAUCCUUCCAGAACUUGGCAGAAAAAAUGUAAGGAGAGUGUUUACCCUGCCUGAGGAACCUCGGGCAGCCUGACCUUACAUGAGAAACAAGAGAAAAUCUGCUGAUGCUGGAAAUACAAACAGUGCACACAAAAUGCUGGAGGUACUCCGCAAGGCAGGUAGCAUCUAUGGAAAAGAGUACAAUUGAUGGGUUGGGGCAAUACCUUUCACCAGAACUGAACAUACAGUAAGAGCAUUAAAUAUAGGAGCAGAAUUAGGCCAUUCAGCCCAUUGAAUGUACUUCACCAUUCUAUCAUGGCUGAUCCCAGUUACCACUCAAUCCUAUACACCUGCCUGCUCACCGUAUACUUUGAUGCUGACUGAUGAGGAAGCAAUCAACAUCCCACUUAAAUAUACACACAGACUUGGCAGAGCAUUCAACAGAUUUACUACUCUCCAGAUUAAAAAAAAUUCCUCCUUACCUCUGUUCUAAAGGGUCACCUCUCAAUCCUGAGGCUGUGCCCUAUAGUUCUGGAUACUCCCACCACAGGAAACAUCUGCUCCACAUCCACCCUAUCUAGUCCUUUCAACAUUCUGUGGGUUUCAAUGAUAUCUUCCUACAUUUUUCUGAAUUCCAGUGAAUACAGUCCCAAAGCUGCCAAAAGCUCCUCACAUGUUAACCCCUCGAAUCCCAAAAUCAACCCCAUGAACCUCCUCUGGAAUCUCUCCAAUGACAAAUACUUUCUGAGAUAUGGGGCCCAAAACUGUAGACAAUACUCUAUGUGUGGCCUGAUUAGUGUCUUAUAAAGGCUCAGCAUGAGAAGAUCUUUCUGUGGUGUCAAAGCUUUAGGUUGUAGAUGCCCAUUCUUUGUAUUUGUACAAAACACAGAUUAAUAGAUGUCUGGAUAUACAGUUGAAAUAUGCAGGAUAUACAGGACAAUGGUGGAAAUGGCACUGAGGUAGAUGAUCAAUCACAUUGAUAAUGAAUGGUGGAACAGCCAGGAAUGCCCAAUGGACAACUCCUGCUUCUAUUGGGUAUGCUCCAUGACAAAAGCAGUCACACUGUUAUUGACACCCUAAGCUCAUUGUUUUGUGUUGUAUAUCUGAUGCAACACACAAAACAUUCCUCUCCACAGAAUCUCAGACAACGCUGGUACGAAGGUGAAGCAACUCUGAGGGGCCAAAGGGUACAAAGUCACCCCUCCUUUUUGAGAAUGGCAAGAUCGCUAUUAUUUCAGGUCUGAGACCCAGGAAAUGAGAGAGAGACACCCAGAAUACACCAGGUUUGGAAUGUGUCCUGACAUCAGCGGAACGGAACCACUGAUAACUGCCAUUGUCUCUUGGAGACGGAAUUGUGUAUUGAGUACUGUACUAUUCAUUGAAACCCCUCAGGGGACAACCAGAGGGGGCUGGUUGAGGGAUUGCAUCAUCCCAACCUGACUGACAUCUGAGACCCCGUGAGUAAGGAUAUAAGAGGGGUCUGGGAAACAACCCCAUCAGACGCACCAGGAGAAACGCUAGAGAUCCCGUGACAGCGUUUAAUAGCGAAAGACCUGAAGGAUCGAAAUCAUAAAGGAAAGUUGGAAGAAUCCGUAGCAGUAAAUUCUCAUUCUCUCUCUCUCUCUCUCUCUCUCUCUCUCUCUCUCUCUCUCUCUCCUGUAUAUUUGCAUUGAUAUUAUUUUUGUGUAUUUUUACUAAUAAAUACUGUUAAAAAUAGUA